CCUACGGGGGGCUGCAGUGGGGAAUAUUGCGCAAUGGGGGAAACCCUGACGCAGCGACGCCGCGUGUGGGAUGACGGCCUUCGGGUUGUAAACCACUGUCGGGAGGGACGAAGAUCUGACGGUACCUCCAAAGGAAGCACCGGCUAACUCUGUGCCAGCAGCCGCGGUAAUACAGAGGGUGCGAGCGUUGUCCGGAAUUACUGGGCGUAAAGGGCGCGUAGGCGGUUCGAUAAGUAGGGGGUGAAAUCUCACGGCUCAACCGGGAGGCUGCCUUC
Molecule: ribosomal RNA, 275 nt
Filed under: uncultured bacterium
Lineage: Bacteria
Description: partial 16S ribosomal RNA
Rfam family: Bacterial small subunit ribosomal RNA
Source: RNAcentral